AAGGGUGGCGUAGGCGGCCUGUUAAGUCAGGGGUGAAAGACGGUAGCUCAACUAUCGCAGUGCCCUUGAUACUGAUGGGCUUGAAUGGACUAGAGGUAGGCGGAAUGAGACAAGUAGCGGUGAAAUGCAUAGAUAUGUCUCAGAACACCGAUUGCGAAGGCAGCUUACUAUGGUCCUAUUGACGCUGAGGCACGAAAGCGUGGGGAUCAAACAGGAUUAGAUACCCCAGU
Molecule: ribosomal RNA, 230 nt
Filed under: uncultured bacterium
Lineage: Bacteria
Description: partial 16S ribosomal RNA
Rfam family: Bacterial small subunit ribosomal RNA
Source: RNAcentral